Molecule: ribosomal RNA, 536 nt
Filed under: uncultured eukaryote
Lineage: Eukaryota
Description: SSU rRNA
Rfam family: Eukaryotic small subunit ribosomal RNA
Source: RNAcentral
CUCAUAGCGUAUAUUUAAGUUGUUGCAGUUAAAAAGCUCGUAGUCGGAUUUUGGCUGAGAACGAACGGUCCGCCGUUAGGUGUGCACUGUUUGGUCUCAGCUUCCUGGUGAGGAGGUGUGCUUCACGGCCACUUAGUCACCGUGGUUACUUUGAAAAAAUUAGAGUGUUCAAAGCGGGCUUACGCUUGAAUAUAUUAGCAUGGAAUAACACCAUAGGACUCCUGUCCUAUUUCGUUGGUCUCGGGACGGGAGUAAUGAUUAAGAGGAACAGUUGGGGGCAUUCGUAUUUCAUUGUCAGAGGUGAAAUUCUUGGAUUUAUGAAAGACGAACUUCUGCGAAAGCAUUUGCCAAGGAUGUUUUCAUUGAUCAAGAACGAAAGUUGGGGGCUCGAAGAUGAUUAGAUACCAUCCUAGUCUCAACCAUAAACGAUGCCGACUAGGGAUUGGCGGAUGUUAAUUGAUGACUUCGCCAGCACCUUAUGAGAAAUCAAAGUUUUUGGGUUCCGGGGGGAGUAUGGUCGCAAGGCUGAAACUUAA